UUUAAUAUGAUUAUUUUAGGUGCUGAUAUAGUUUAAAAGAGAAAGUGGUGAGAAGCCACUGCAGCCCCCGCUACUGUAAGAGUUGACAAAUCCCAUUUAUCCACUAGAUAUUUCUAGGAAGGAGGGAGGAGGAAGAAACUUAAGCCAGGAGAACUGCCUGAAAUACAUUGCUACA
Molecule: non-coding RNA, 175 nt
Filed under: Clostridium sp.
Lineage: Bacteria; Bacillati; Bacillota; Clostridia; Eubacteriales; Clostridiaceae
Also listed under: 1 other name
Source: RNAcentral